UACGGAGGGGGCUAGCGUUGUUCGGAAUCAUUGGGCGUAAAGCGCGCGUAGGUGGCCACAUAAGUCCGUUGUGAAAGUCAAAGGCUCAACCUUUGAAAGCCGAUGGAUACUGUGUGGCUAGAGUACGGAAGAGGCGAGUGGAAUUCCUGGUGUAGCGGUGGAAUGCGCAGAUAUCAGGAGGAACACCAAUAGCGAAGGCAGCUCGCUGGGACGUUACUGACACUGAGGCGCGAAAGCGUGGGGAGCGAACAGG
This 253-nucleotide ribosomal RNA is filed under the name uncultured bacterium. RNAcentral describes it as "partial 16S ribosomal RNA". It matches the Rfam family "Bacterial small subunit ribosomal RNA", at positions 524 to 776 of the family's 1533-position model. The record is from RNAcentral.